AGUCUACAACCUUGAUAGAAAUGUCUGGGUAAUCUUUUGAAUGCGCAUCGUGCUAGGGAUAGAUUAUUGCAAUUAUUAAUCUUGAACGAGGAAUUCCUAGUAAACGCAAGUCAUCAGCUUGCAUUGAUUACGUCCCUGCCCUU
RNAcentral lists this ribosomal RNA (143 nucleotides) under uncultured eukaryote. Its description in RNAcentral is "partial 18S ribosomal RNA". It matches the Rfam family "Eukaryotic small subunit ribosomal RNA", at positions 1518 to 1660 of the family's 1831-position model. The record is from RNAcentral.